GAUGAACGCUGGCGGCGUGCCUAAUACAUGCAAGUCGAGCGAACAGACGAGGAGCUUGCUCCUCUGACGUUAGCGGCGGACGGGUGAGUAACACGUGGAUAACCUACCUAUAAGACUGGGAUAACUUCGGGAAACCGGAGCUAAUACCGGAUAACAUGUUGAACCGCAUGGUUCAACAGUGAAAGACGGUUUUGCUGUCACUUAUAGAUGGAUCCGCGUCGCAUUAGCUAGUUGGUAAGGUAACGGCUUACCAAGGCAACGAUGCGUAGCCGACCUGAGAGGGUGAACGGCCACACUGGAACUGAGACACGGUCCAGACUCCUACGGGAGGCAGCAGUAGGGAAUCUUCCGCAAUGGGCGAAAGCCUGACGGAGCAACGCCGCGUGAGUGAAGAAGGUCUUCGGAUCGUAAAACUCUGUUAUUAGGGAAGAACAAAUGUGUAAGUAACUAUGCACGUCUUGACGGUACCUAAUCAGAAAGCCACGGCUAACUACGUG
This 497-nucleotide ribosomal RNA is filed under the name uncultured bacterium. RNAcentral's name for it is "partial 16S ribosomal RNA". It matches the Rfam family "Bacterial small subunit ribosomal RNA", at positions 28 to 507 of the family's 1533-position model. The record is from RNAcentral.